CUUGGUCAUUUAGAGGAAGUAAAAGUCGUAACAAGGUUUCCGUAGGUGAACCUGCGGAAGGAUCAUUAUUGAAUUUGAAAAGUAGAGGGGGAGCCGGUCUUCUUUGAGGGGGACCGCUCUUCCGAUACGACCCACACCUGUGCACGUUUGACCCGCCUUCCGGUGGGUCCACACACAACACACCCUUAAGAAACUUUGUAUGUGAACUUUGUAAUGAUUAUGACAACUUUCAACAACGGAUCUCUUGGCUCUCGCAUCGAUGAAGAACGCAGCGAAAUGCGAUAAGUAAUGUGAAUUGCAGAAUUCAGUGAAUCAUCGAAUCUUUGAACGCACCUUGCGCCCUUUGGUAAUCCGAGGGGCAUGCCUGUUUGAGUGUCUUGAAGCUCUCAAACCGUUCGGGUCUUUUUAAUUGGGCUCGGUUUCGGUUUGGAUUUGUGGACGUUCCUUUGCCGGGAACUCUCCUCCUCCGAAAGGGGGGGGGGGGGGGUGUCGGCUCGUCCGAAAUGCAUUAGCCGGCUUCUGUUGGGGCUUUGCGAAACUCGGUGUGAUAAGUAUCACUCGCUGAGGACAAGUGACCCCGAAACAGGCUGCUUACAGUUGUCCGGAAGGACGAUUUCGUCUAAGUGUUUGACCUCAAAUCAGGUAGGACUACCCGCUGAACUUAAGCAUAUCAAUAAGCGGAGGAAAAGAAACUAACAAGGAUUCCCCUAGUAACGGCGAGUGAAGCGGGAAGAGCUCAAAUUUGAAAUCUGGCGGUCUUUGGCCGUCCGAGUUGUAUUCUAUAGAAGUGCCAUCCGUGCUGGACCGUGUACAAGUCUCUUGGAACAGAGCGUCAUAGAGGGUGAGAAUCCCGUCCUUGACACGGAACCCCAGUGCAUUGCGUUGUGCUUUCUAAGAGUCGAGUUGUUUGGGAAUGCAGCUCAAAUCGGGUGGUAAAUUCCAUCUAAAGCUAAAUAUUGGCGAGAGACCGAUAGCGAACAAGUACCGUGAGGGAAAGAUGAAAAGCACUUUGGAAAGAGAGUUAAACAGUAUGUGAAAUUGUUGAAAGGGAAACGCUUGAAGUCAGUCUUGUCUCUUGGGACUCAGCCUUGCUUUUUCUGCUCGGUGCACUUCCCACCUGACAGGCCAGCGUUGAUUUUGACCGUCGGAAAUGGGUCUCAGGAAUGUGGCACCUCCGGGUGUGUUAUAGCCUUUGAUUUUUGCGACGGUUGGGAUCAAGUCUAACGGCACGCCUCCGGCGGUGCUUGUGCUGGCGUAAUGGCUUUAAACGACCCGUCUUGAAACACGGACC
RNAcentral lists this ribosomal RNA (1291 nucleotides) under uncultured fungus. RNAcentral's name for it is "eukaryotic LSU rRNA". The stretch from base 629 to 1291 matches the Rfam family "Eukaryotic large subunit ribosomal RNA", at positions 1 to 667 of the family's 3401-position model. Lineage: Eukaryota; Fungi. The record is from RNAcentral.